AAUCCAAAGACAAAUAUGAAGUUGUGUUGAAGGCUAAGCCAUUUGCUUAUGCUUCAAAGAAGCAUUUCAAAGAAUGUGAAAAGCCUAAGCCUUCACCAACUCCAUACUAUUACAAGUCACCUCCUCCUCCAUCUCCAGUUUACAUAUACAAGUCACCACCUCCUCCAUCACCUACUUAUGUUUACAAGUCACCACCACCACCAGUGAAGUCACCUCCCUAUUACUAUCAAUCUCCACCUCCACCAUCACCAAAACCUCAGCCUCCUUAUUAUUAUCACUCUCCACCUCCUCCAACACCAGUUGUUAAGCCACCAUACUACUACCAAUCUCCACCUCCUCCAUCUCCAAAACCUAAGCCUCCAUACUACUACCAAUCUCCUCCUCCUCCAUCACCAAAACCUAAACCUCCUUACUACUACCAAUCUCCACCUCCUCCAUCACCAAAACCUCAGCCUCCAUACUACUAUCAAUCUCCACCUCCUCCAACACCAGUUGUGAAGCCACCAUACUACUACCAAUCUCCACCUCCUCCAUCACCAAAACCUCAGCCUCCUUACUAUUACCAAUCUCCACCUCCUCCAACACCAGUUGUUAAGCCACCAUACUACUAUAAAUCUCCACCUCCCCCAUCACCCUCUCCUCCACCACCAUACUACUACAAAUCUCCACCACCACCAUCCCCAUCACCGCCACCUCCAUACUACUAUAAAUCUCCACCUCCACCAUCACCGGUUGUUAAGCCACCAUACUACUAUAAAUCCCCACCUCCCCCAUCACCCUCUCCUCCCCCUCCAUACUACUAUAAAUCUCCACCUCCAUACUACUACCACUCUCCACCUCCACCAUCACCAGUUGUUAAGCCACCAUACUACUACAAAUCUCCACCUCCACCAUCACCCUCACCUCCCCCUCCAUACUACUAUAAAUCUCCACCCCCACCUUCACCAUCCCCUCCUCCUCCAUACUAUUAUAAAUCACCACCACCACCAUCCCCAUCACCGCCACCUCCAUACUAUUACAAAUCCCCUCCACCUCCAUCCCCAUCUCCACCGCCUCCUUAUUACUAUCACAGUCCUCCUCCACCAUCUCCCACUCCUCAUCCUCCCUACUACUACAAAUCCCCUCCACCACCAACGUCCUAUCCUCCACCUCCUUACCACUAUGUGAGCCCUCCACCACCUUCUCCAUCUCCACCUCCACCAUACUAUUACAAAUCACCACCUCCUCCCUCCCCAGCCCCCGCUCCAAAGUACAUUUACAAAUCACCUCCACCUCCAGCUUACAUCUAUUCUUCCCCACCUCCACCCAUCUACAAGUAAGCUCGGAUUGUGGAAGCACCAUUCACCACAAAUCAUGUAAGUUCAGGAUUCCAACAUUGAUCAUAAGUAAAAUUAGUUAAUUAUACGUGUAUGAAUUUUAGUAAUGGAAAUUCCCACUGAAUUAUUUUUUCAGGUUCUAGUUUUCAUGGAGGAAUAAAGGCAAGCUCCAUUUGGAGUGAAGUGAAAUAUCUAUCUUCCUGUCCAAGUUCUUUGAAUAAUAAAAGUCUGAAUGUGUCAUCUCUGGGCUACAAUGUUUGUGAUUCAGACCCGGUUGGUUCAAUUUGUUUGAUGGCCAUCUUGCACGUCCUGAUCUUAUUGUGUUCAAGUGACGGACAAAUGAAAAAGAGGAAGAGAGAUUUAAAGUGUAAAUGCCAAGUGAAAGUGAAAAAGUACAGUCCACUCUUAGAGAUCUCUUAAAUUUAUUUGUUUAUAGGCCGUCUAUGAUUGCUUUUCUAUUUAUUGUGGAAUUUUUGUAUUGUACCAGUUGUUGUGUUUGCAAUAAGUAAUAGUAAUAAACCACCAAAUUCAGGUUUCCUAACUUUCCUUUAAAAUGAAUGAAUAAAUAAGAAGUAUAAAAAGUAUGAUACCACAACCCUUAUAUAACAAAACUACCUUAAGCUUAUUCUCUUUACCUUAAUCCUUACCUUAAACCUUAAACUCUGUUUCAAGACAACAAUUUGAAUACGAAAAACAUAUGUCACGCGUUGUAGACAUUAUUCAUUACCAAGUUUUCAACUGGGUCAGAGUAAAAAUUUCACAUCCUACACUUCUGAAAAUCCUCUUGUUAUUAUUCUUAUGUUACCACAAUUUUGGUUUCCUAAUAACCAUUUGCAUUUAUACCAUUCUCGAGAUAUCAAAUAGUACAUCAGAAAGAGUCUCUGCCUGAUGCCUAUCAAACUCAAUAUCUGCCCACUAUGAUGAUUCUUUAGAAGGCACCAGCUAAAGUUUCUGCAUGUUUGAACUUUGCUCAUAAACAGAUAAGAUAAACAAACAAUUGACAUAAAUUAUUUGGACUCAACACCAAAUCACGUUUCCUUCUUGGAAUCUUUGCUCAUUUCUUUUGUAGUACGUACCAAUUAUUAAUUAUUAAUUUAACUAUAAGUCUUCUUCUUCUUCUAGCCAUAUCCAAGCAGGUCCCAUUAUCUAAUUAAAUAGCCCCCAAUAAUCUGAUCAAAUCCACAUAACUGAUUCGUGGACCCUUUCUUCCUUCUAAUUCAUGCAAUUUCCCUAAAGUUACAAAAACUAAUUUCACACUGCUACUAACAACCACAGCAUCAGCAUCUUAAUUAUUUCAUUUACCAUGUCACAAAAUUUGAAGUUGUGAUGAUGACAAGUUCUAAGAUUAUUUAAAUAUGAAUCAGUAGUUUGAAUUUAUAUAAGCUAUCACUAACGCAUGAUUUAGUUAUGAUUUGAAUUAGUCAUUGACAGAUACUGAUAAUUUUUAACAGUAUUAAUUAUCAUCCUGAGUUGUAUUAAGCUCAAAUGUGUACCUAACAAAGGCAACUAAAAAUUAAAGAAAGGAAUUCACAAGCACUAAUUAUUGCUGUGUUUACAAGAAAACAAAAAAAGUGGUCUUCCAACUAAUAUAAGAGAAAGUGGCAACUUGCUAUAUAAAGGGAAACAUAAAGAUAGAAAAGGGUUGAAAUGCUAAUUUGUUAUGGGUGCUGUCAUGCAUCAAUUCUGAUUAAUCUAAAUUUUUGAAGUUAUAUAAAACUACAAAGAGAACGAUGGCGCACCGAACAAUCAUUAUAAAGAAGAGGUCUACCCACUAUUUGAGGAACUGCUCAUCAUCACUUAAUGUAAAGAAUAACUUUUUAAUAUUUUAUAACUUUUCAAACUACUAAUUAAAUAAAUGAGCAUAAAAUAAUUUGUAUGCUUGAACCAAUAAUGUUUUCUGAAAAAAAAAACACUAUUGUGAUGCUGAUGUUUAAUAAACAACUGUAUUAAGAAAUGGGUUUUUCAAUUAUCAUUUUAAGAAUUAUUUGGUUGUUUUCAAGAGGGGUUUCUAGGAAGGAAAGGAUGGGGUUGGGAAAGGAUUAAUUAAGUAACCUUUUGCUUUGGGGGUGUUUUUUUUUAUCAUCAACAAUAAUGAAUAAAUAAAUAUUGAUCACUUUAGGGGUGAUCCAACUCUUAUACAACAUACUAAAACAGUCGGCCAACAUAAUACUAUCUAAACUACUCAAAAGUCAUCUAAACUACUCUAAAACAAGAAGCUCCAGAACGAGAAACAAACCAUAAGUUCAAGACACCAAUCUGAAUAAGAAAAACAAGCAGAUGAAAUUUUAAAGGAAAUCCAAGAUCAAACUUUCAAUUGAGUUAGAGAAAACGUCUCUGAAUGAUGCGUCACUCCACCUUUAAAGAUGACAUUGUUCCUAAGACAGAAAAUCUCACUAACCAUCACAAUUCAAACAUUUUUCAAAAUCAAAUUAACAGAAUUAGGUGCAUUACACAGGUUGCUGGCAAGAAACUUGUAUUUCCAAACAAAGGGAGUGACAAAAUUUGUACUCUGUUGGUAGAAGAAUGAAGUACUAUAUUCUUGCAGCUGUACAUUUAUCUAAUAGAUGCAUGCACUGUUUUCCCAAGGUUGUUUCCAUUUUCUGUCUGUAUCACAUAUAUUAAGCAAAAUGUUCAUUCUGCUGGAUGCAGUAUUAUGCUGCAGAGAUUCUGCUUUUGGCUUAUUUUGUCUUAUGAGCUUUGAUUCUCUAAACCUUUUUGUAAAGAGUUGGAGAGCAUACCUUAAAUGCUUCAAUUCUAUUUAUUUCAUUCUUUCCCAAUAAAAGAAAAGGAAUUGUUCAUGUGAGAAAUAUUGGAAUCCUAUUAAGGUAUUUUUAUAACCAAUGUGAAGAAAUUUGGUCUGUAGUUAAUUUCAGUUAAGGUUUAUUGUCAUGGCUGAUUUUGAUUUUUACUCUUUGUAAACAACUGAAAUAAUUUACAACUAGCAUUAUGGAUAAUAAUCUUACAUUAGCAUAGGAUCCUAUUGUCAUUUUCACUUCUUCACACUACUAUUGCAGCAAAAUGGCAUAAUGUUGCAGUAGUUUGCACCAUCUUAGUCUCUUAAAGAUCCUUUUUUCUGUGCUCAUGUGAUGUAUGACAGAAGAUAUGCUGCCACUGAAAAAGAGGUUCUGCUUCUUCAUAUUUCACAAUCUUGUUGCACCUCAUGAGGUGUGUGAUUCAAAAAGUUAUUACAUAUAAAUACUAAUUAAUGGGAUGAAUUAUAUAAUAAUUAGAUAAUAAUAUUAGAAUAAGGACUAGUGUUUAAUCUCUAAUUUUUUUCUUAUUCUAAACAUACAUGUAACCAUGUUUAGAAAGUUAUUUGGUUUACGCAAUAACUAUAAGUGUGAAAAAUUUAAACUACUUUUUCAUCAUAUUUGGUUAAAGACAAAGUUUUAUUGUUUAAUCUGAUACCAUAUGAUGUUGUAUAUUUUUAUCAUUUACCUUCAUCAUCUUCACCCAAUAGUAAUGAUAAUAAUAUAGUAACCACAUGAAAUAUUUUAAUAUUUUAAUAUUUGAUAUUUUAUUGUUUAACUAUUAUAUUAUUUCACCUAGUUUUGUUUUGUUUUUAAAAGCAAAAAAUUACAAAAACAUAUAGUGUAAUUUUCGUAAUGAUAAUAAUUUAAAAAAUAAAUAAAUACUUCAACAUUACAAUAAAAUCAUUAGAAACUAAUUUUAAACCUAAAAUAAUUACUUACUAUUUGACGAUCACUUUAUAAAUUAAAAUAUUAUUGGUAUCUAAAGUAAUUUUUAUUAUUAAUAAAAAUACAUCAUUACCAAAAUUUUAGUUCCUUAUUAUUUAUUAAUCUUUUAAAGAUCAAAUUAAAAUUUAAAAUAUUAAUAGUUAAAAUCUUGAUCCUUAAUUUAGAUACUAAUUUAUAAUUUAUAUUAUUUUUUAUUAAUAAUAAAAUUAGUUUAAAUACGAAUAAUUUUUUAGUUUCAUUAUCUAAUUUAGUCUAUUAAUUAUUAUUUUUAUCUUAAAAUUUGGUUUGAUGGUUUGUUACAGUAGAAGUUCAUUUUUAUUGAAGUUUGAUUUGGUUCUACGUGUUAUGUUUUAGAAAUUUAAUUUCUUAGCGUCACUUUGGUCAUACGUGGUUCAUUCAGAUUGAGAGGCUAUGAGCCCAAUGGGCAAGCACCCAUUUCCUCUAAGAAUUAUUUUUCCUGCACCCCUACGUUUUUCUUUCUGCACCCCAUAAUUUUAAAAAUUCCAAAAUUGAUUUUGACCUUGACCCUUUAUUUAGAAAAGGACACCGUGAAAUGUGCUACGGACUCAUUAAUAAUAGUAUAAAUUAUUAUGUUAUACUCUAAUCGAUAUGAAUUAUAAAAACGUUAAAUCUCAGAAAAACUAUUUAAAAAAUAUUAAAAUUAAAAUACCAACUCACUCAAUGUAUACUUUUUUAUUAUGAAUAGAAAUAGUUCAAUCCUUGUUGGAUUAUAAACAUUUUCCUGAUUUUGAAAAAUAAAUAAGUAGCAAAUGAAUGAAGUGGAAGGGAUUAAUGGAACUGUAGGAUGACAAAGACUAAAUUAAUAAUUUACAAAAUUAAAAACCAAUUCAAUAAAUUGUUAUUAAUAUAAUGAAUUGAUGUUUUUGAUUUUUUCAUAUAACAAUUGGUGAAGUUCUGAGGUAGACAAGUUGUCGCCCAACAAACUUUGACACUUCUUCUCAGAACAAGUGGUAGACCAUACAUGCAUCCUUAUUCUAAACAAAAAAAAAACAUCAAAUGUUUCAAAAAAAAACUCAAUAUUAUCCAUACCGAUGUGAUAAUGUCGUAUUCAAAAAAAAAAAAUUAUACCAAUUUGUUUUACACUAAAAAAAAUCCAAACUUUCUUCAAAUGGGAGUAAAAUACUAAACUUUCCUUUUCUCUUGACCGAGUCAACUUUCUGAACCCACUUUGCUUGCAAUGAAAAAAUGUAAUUUUUUUGACUUAAUCGUUAUGGGAAAGAAGAUUGACUGAUACAAAGUUGGAACAGAUAUGAAAAGAACCUGAACUGUUUACAGUGGUGUCACGUUAUUACCAUGAAAGUAGAUUAAAACAAACCUCAAAAGGUUAUUAUUCUUCAAUUCCCUUCACGUAAGUUGCAGUGUGGAUACUGUGAAUUUUCUUUGCUUUCAACUGGGACCUGUAGAAAGAGAAAAUGACUGCAAACAAGAAAGACACCCUUUGGAUUUCUCUUUCUCUCUCUCUCUCUCUUUCCCUCGUAAUUUUAUUUUUGAGACAACUCACAGAAGUCUUGCAAGUUGUAACCUUCAGUUUCUGGUUUCAGCCGACUAGUUUGAUCAGGUUCCGUCUACCCAGAUCUACUUUUGCCACAAUUUAUUCACUUUUUUCAUUUCUUGGAUCUAUUGCAUCUCUUGGGUAUCCUUAUUCUAUCUCAAUUUGAAGUCUUUCAUGCCAAGCUUCUUCUGGGAUCCCUUUUGAUCUUCUUUGUUGCUUAGUUUCUCGUAUAAUUUGCUCCUUGCUUCUUCUUCUGGCUUACUAUUUAUAAAGAUUUUAUCUUUUAUCGUUUCUUAUAAUUAUUUGUUAUCUUGGUAUUUACGUUUAGUUAUGAUGGUGCCCCUCUUUAAGUUUUCAAUGUUCUUUCCAAUUCAACUUUGCUUGAAAGAUUAUAUUAUACAGUGUCCUAUUUUUUUUUCCUCUGUGAUUUUAUUCAUGGUCCUUUGUUUUAUGUCUUUCCAUGCUUUCUAGUACAAUUUCGGAUUGUCUGAACUUUGAUUGCUGUUAGAAACGAUGGGGAUGAAGUGAAAUUCAUGAGGUUUGACCCUGCAUAGCAUUGUCAUUUGCAUGUUUGAGAAUUUGGAUUGAUCUCUGAAAGUUCAUGUAAGACUUAUUUUCAGAUAGUGAUGUUGGUUCUUUCUCCGUAGUAGAAUUUGGCAUGCAACUAUAGUUGAGUUCUGAUGUUGCUUCCAUGUCCAAACUCCCAAGUAGUAAAGGCUUACAAUUUUACUUCUUAUAUAUUUCAUGCCCAUUUGCCCUAUUUGUUUAAUCAUAUAUUGUGCAGACAUUGUACUUCUUGUUUCUUCUUUGAUGAAUUAGUCAACUCUAAAUGAUUGGUUUGGUUACUUUAAACUUCUAUCUUAGUACAAGUAAAGAAUACUGAUUGGAAAAUAUAUAUUUUUCUUGAAUUGUGCAUGACAAAUGUUUGAAAUGGGCUUUAUUUCUACUUGGCAGUUAAGCGUGGUUUUGGCAGGCUAAUUCUGAAAACCGGCUAGAAUGAAGAAGGCCAUUGGUCAAACUGUUAGGGAACUGUGAGUCUAACUGUUUAGGGUGGUGUUUGUUACUAUUUUUUAACUCAGCCCUAUUUCAUAAUUCCUCACUAUCUUCAUUGUCCUUGCAGUAAAAGAGAAGUAAAUAAGAAAGUGCUUAAAGUUCCUGGGAUAGAACAGAAGGUAAAUUUUGUUCGCUUAACAUUUACUGUAAAACUGAAUUGCAUAUAAUAUAACUCAUUGCAAAGACAAUGGUGUGAGGAUUUAUGUGAAGUCUGCAAUCUGAAUUUACUUUUCUAAUAUUUGCUCACAAAAGAAAUUGUUUGUUGACUAUCUUGGAGCUUACACAUUAUAAUCUUACUGUGCAAAUUUUAAUUAGACUCGUCUCUCGUCUCUUCCAGAUUCUUGAUGCUACCAGCAAUGAAGCCUGGGGUCCUCAUGGAUCACUUCUAGCAGAUAUUGCUCAGGCUACCAGAAAUUAGUAAGCUUGAACUCAUCAUUUAUGCUUGAUAUUGUAUACAAAUAUCUCACUUUUGAGCUCCCUUGCAGUCAUGAAUACCAAAUUAUCAUGGAAAUAAUCUGGAAGCGGAUUAAUGACACAGGCAAGAAUUGGCGGCAUGUCUAUAAGGUUUGUGGAACUUUUUUAUGUUUUAGAUGGAAUUACUCUUGGAAUCUCUUUUUUCUUUUGUUUAUUGUCAUAACAACACUCUUCUGUUUUGACCUUCAAUAUGCAUCCGUGAACUGAAGUACACUAUUUAUGAAAUUUUCUCAAUACUUAUUUACAAACAACUAAUGGUUCUUGCCUUUCAAGAACUCUGUCUAGUAUGUUUAUGCAUUUAUUUCUGAUCAUGCCCUCUUGGAAAAGAAUGGCUCUUACAUUUUUGUAUUAAAUGUUCAACAACAGGCUUUGACAGUAUUAGAAUAUGUGGUGGCUAAUGGGUCAGAGCGAGUCAUAGAGGAGAUUAGGGAGCAUGCCCACCAAAUAUCGGUAAUUUCCUGUCAAUUGAAACAUUUAUAAACUGUUUAGUAUUUUUCAUUCAAACUAUUAAUAUUAUUGAAAUGAUCUAAAAAUUAGAAUGCAGCUUGAUAAUGUUGUAAAUGUUCAUAUCAACAGACAUUGUCCAAUUUUCAAUAUAUUGAUUCCAGUGGAAGAGACCAGGGAAACAAUGUCAGGAAGAAAUCACAGAAUCUCAUUCUCCUUGUGAAUGAUAAAGAAAGAAUCAUAGAGGUUAGACAGAAGGCUGCUGCUAACAGGGACAAGUAAUUCUCCUCUUAUUAGUCUGUUUUUUUAUAUAUAUUUUGAACUUUGUUAUUUUCCAGUUGCUAUAAAAACUUAUGUCUUCUGCCUUGCUGGGGAAGAAAAUAUAUUUCUUUUCCCUGUAUUUUGUAAUAUCCAUCCAUUGUGUAUUUGAAUUUCUUUUGGGUUUCUAGAUCACAAAUGUAAAAUCACAGAGUAUAUUAUGUAAAUAUGUAUGUGGGUUAAUCCGGAGGAGAUAUGUAAUGUAAUUGCCCAGCAUGAUUCACCAGGUUUCGCGCCAGUUCAACAGGUGGAAUGUACAGGCCUGGUUCUCAUUCUAGCAGUGGGGCUUAUGGUGAUAGAUAUGAAGAUGAUCGUUAUAGAAGCAGGGAGGAAGAUAGAAGUGAUCAUGGCUAUGGCAGAGAAAGAGAGUGGGGCUAUAGAGAUGAUGAUCGGUAUAGUCGUGAAGGAGAUCGUUAUGGCAGAGAUAAUGAGGAAAGCUACAGAAAAGAUGGCUAUAGGGAUGAUGAGUACCAUAGAAGAAGUGUUGAUGAUGGCCAAUAUGGCUCAAGAAGCAGGAGCUCUGACAGAGAUCAUGAUCAUAAUGUUGAUGAUGAUGGUCAGCGUUCAUCUGGGUACGUGCCUGAGAUAGCCAAAAAAAAACAUCUAACAAAAUCUGAAAUAGAUAAUGUUUUUAUUUUUCAUAAUUAUAGUUCUUGGGGUUCAUUUGGUUUUGGAUCUUAGACUCUUAUUAGUUGUUAUGAUCUGUAUAUAUAUAUAUGCAUAUUAGAUGUAAAAAACUUAGACUACUUCAAAAGACAAGUACACAGCAUAAUCCGUAUUAGCUUUGAUGUUAGGAUUCAUGGUUGCACAACAUUCCUCUCUCAUUCUGCUUACUCCAUCCUUUUUUACAAUGUUGUCUCAGAGGUAGCAUUGCUAAAGCUGAAGCUCAUUCAAUGGAAGGAAGGUAAAUCAUCCCUCUCUCUCAUAUCACACACAUAUCCAUGCAUAAUGGCCAUUUAGCAUUAUUUUGGAUGACCAUAUGCAAUUCCAUGGGCAGGUUAGAGCAGAAACUUUCUGAGCAAAAUGUGGGUGCUCCUCCCAGUUAUGAAGAAGCUCUUUCUCAAAGCCCUUUACACAAUGAAAGGUAUGAAUUUAAUAAUACCGAGAUUAUCUAUUCCAAUUCCGAACAUAUUUGUUACUAUAUCACUUUGAUUGAAGGGAUGGGGGAAUUUCAGCUGCAAAAGCCUCUUCUCCUGUAAGUGACAAUCCUACACAAACAGCUGCUGCUGCCAGUACUGCAACAUCUGGAAACCCAGAAUCUAAGGCUUUUGAUGAAUUUGAUCCUCGUGGUCAUCCUGCAUCAGGUGUGGCAAGUUCUUUGUUUUGAAAAUUGAGUACACAUGUUGAAGUUUAUUAUUUUUAAUUGUCCUUUUUCUACUUCAUGUCAGGUUCGACACUCACAUAUAUGUAUGUGUCCAAUGAAAUAUAUUUAUAAUUAUCAACAUAUGAUAGCAAAUUUUUAUUGUAUGUUUCUUAUUAGCUGCCCGAGCUCCUGCUAGUAAUGUUGAACUGGACUUGUUCGGCUCCCUAUCUGAACCAUUCUCUUCAAAUGCAUUGGCUCCUGUGUCUUCUGCACCAGAAACAACAACCUCUCAAGGCAACACAAACCUUGAUUCAACUGUGGCCUUUGCACCACCACCAUCUGCUACUAAUAAUUUCAAUACGGUAGGAAUUUGCUUUUUUGUUUAUACCUUGACUCUAAGAAAGUAUUUGAAUACGCUGUAUUAUUUAAUAAGAAUGAAUUUUUGUGUAUGGCUUGGAAUGAUUUUCUUGCAUGCUUAGGUGGGUAGCUUCAACUUAAGAAAUGUAGCGUAUUAAAUACUGUAACUUCUGUAAAACAUUAAUUUAAUUUGUAUCCUUUG
Molecule: long non-coding RNA, 10678 nt
Filed under: Phaseolus vulgaris (common bean)
Lineage: Eukaryota; Viridiplantae; Streptophyta; Magnoliopsida; Fabales; Fabaceae
Description: long non-coding RNA (PVUL_LNC001945)
Source: RNAcentral